This 496-nucleotide ribosomal RNA is filed under the name uncultured bacterium. RNAcentral's name for it is "partial 16S ribosomal RNA". It matches the Rfam family "Bacterial small subunit ribosomal RNA", at positions 28 to 506 of the family's 1533-position model. The record is from RNAcentral.
GAUGAACGCUGGCGGCGUGCCUAAUACAUGCAAGUCGAGCGAACGGACGAGAAGCUUGCUUCUCUGAUGUUAGCGGCGGACGGGUGAGUAACACGUGGAUAACCUACCUAUAAGACUGGGAUAACUUCGGGAAACCGUAGCUAAUACCGGAUAAUAUUUUGAACCGCAUGGUUCAAAAGUGAAAGACGGUCUUGCUGUCACUUAUAGAUGGAUCCGCGCUGCAUUAGCUAGUUGGUAAGGUAACGGCUUACCAAGGCAACGAUGCAUAGCCGACCUGAGAGGGUGAUCGGCCACACUGGAACUGAGACACGGUCCAGACUCCUACGGGAGGCAGCAGUGGGGAAUCUUCCGCAAUGGGCGAAAGCCUGACGGAGCAACGCCGCGUGAGUGAUGAAGGUCUUCGGAUCGUAAAACUCUGUUAUUAGGGAAGAACAUAUGUGUAAGUAACUGUGCACAUCUUGACGGUACCUAAGCAGAAAGCCACGGCUAACUACGU